Molecule: ribosomal RNA, 482 nt
Filed under: uncultured bacterium
Lineage: Bacteria
Description: bacterial SSU rRNA
Rfam family: Bacterial small subunit ribosomal RNA
Source: RNAcentral
GGUGAACGCUGGCGGCGUGCCUAACACAUGCAAGUCGAGCGGUGCAGUUUGAAGCUUCGGUGGAAAGCUGCAUAGCGGCGGACGGGUGAGGAAAACGUAGGAACGUGCCCCUUGGAGUUGGAUAGCCACGGGAAACUGUGGGUAAACCGACAUAGACUCGAGAGAGUAAAGGCCGAAAGGCGCCAAGGGAGCGGCCUGCGGCCCAUCAGGUAGUUGGUAGUGUAAAGGACUACCAAGCCGACGACGGGUAGCCGGUCUGAGAGGAUGGCCGGCCACAAGGGCACUGAGAGACGGGCCCUACUCCUACGGGAGGCAGCAGUGGGGGAUUUUGGACAAUGGGCGAAAGCCUGAUCCAGCGACGCCGCGUGGAGGACGAAGCCCUUCGGGGUGUAAACUCCUUUUCUCAGGGAAAAAGGAUGAUGGUACCUGAGGAAUAAGCCCCAGCCAACUACGUGCCAGCAGCCGCGGUAAUCAUACUUGUA